AGUGAACGCUGGCGGUAGGCCUAACACAUGCAAGUCGAACGGCAGCACAGUAAGAGCUUGCUCUUACGGGUGGCGAGUGGCGGACGGGUGAGGAAUACAUCGGAAUCUACUUUUUCGUGGGGGAUAACGUAGGGAAACUUACGCUAAUACCGCAUACGACCUACGGGUGAAAGCAGGGGAUCUUCGGACCUUGCGCGAUUGAAUGAGCCGAUGUCGGAUUAGCUAGUUAGCGGGGUAAAGGCCCACCAAGGCGACGAUCCGUAGCUGGUCUGAGAGGAUGAUCAGCCACACUGGAACUGAGACACGGUCCAGACUCCUACGGGAGGCAGCAGUGGGGAAUAUUGGACAAUGGGCGCAAGCCUGAUCCAGCCAUACCGCGUGGGUGAAGAAGGCCUUCGGGUUGUAAAGCCCUUUUGUUGGGAAAGAAAAGCAGCAGGUUAAUACCCCGCUGUUCUGACGGUACCCAAAGAAUAAGCACCGGCUAACUUCGUG
Molecule: ribosomal RNA, 492 nt
Filed under: uncultured bacterium
Lineage: Bacteria
Description: partial 16S ribosomal RNA
Rfam family: Bacterial small subunit ribosomal RNA
Source: RNAcentral